RNAcentral lists this transfer RNA (76 nucleotides) under Chloroflexota bacterium. Its description in RNAcentral is "Chloroflexi bacterium tRNA-Thr". It matches the Rfam family "tRNA". From Rfam's summary of the family: Transfer RNA (tRNA) molecules are approximately 80 nucleotides in length. Their secondary structure includes four short double-helical elements and three loops (D, anti-codon, and T loops). RNAcentral also lists the same sequence under 1 other name. The record is from RNAcentral. Lineage: Bacteria; Bacillati; Chloroflexota.
GCCACCAUAGCUCAGCUGGCAGAGCAGACGAUUCGUAAUCGUCAGGUCGUGGGUUCGUAUCCCACUGGUGGCUCCA